AUCUAGUGGUCUAAUGAUGAUGUCUGUUUUACACGCAGAGGGUGGAUUAUGUCCCGAUUGCUG
This 63-nucleotide transfer RNA is filed under the name Dicrocoelium dendriticum. RNAcentral describes it as "tRNA-Val". The record is from RNAcentral. Lineage: Eukaryota; Metazoa; Platyhelminthes; Trematoda; Plagiorchiida; Dicrocoeliidae.